Molecule: ribosomal RNA, 499 nt
Filed under: uncultured ascomycota sp. 93-G7
Lineage: Eukaryota; Fungi; Ascomycota
Description: SSU rRNA
Rfam family: Eukaryotic small subunit ribosomal RNA
Source: RNAcentral
GAAUAAUAGAAUAGGACGUGUGGUUCUAUUUUGUUGGUUUCUAGGACCGCCGUAAUGAUUAAUAGGGAUAGUCGGGGGCAUCAGUAUUCAAUUGUCAGAGGUGAAAUUCUUGGAUUUAUUGAAGACUAACUACUGCGAAAGCAUUUGCCAAGGAUGUUUUCAUUAAUCAGUGAACGAAAGUUAGGGGAUCGAAGACGAUCAGAUACCGUCGUAGUCUUAACCAUAAACUAUGCCGACUAGGGAUCGGGCGAUGUUAUCUUUUUGACUCGCUCGGCACCUUACGAGAAAUCAAAGUUUUUGGGUUCUGGGGGGAGUAUGGUCGCAAGGCUGAAACUUAAAGAAAUUGACGGAAGGGCACCACCAGGAGUGGAGCCUGCGGCUUAAUUUGACUCAACACGGGGAAACUCACCAGGUCCAGACACAAUAAGGAUUGACAGAUUGAGAGCUCUUUCUUGAUUUUGUGGGUGGUGGUGCAUGGCCGUUCUCAGUUGGUGGAGUG